This 977-nucleotide ribosomal RNA is filed under the name uncultured Pseudomonadota bacterium. RNAcentral describes it as "bacterial SSU rRNA". It matches the Rfam family "Bacterial small subunit ribosomal RNA", at positions 57 to 1078 of the family's 1533-position model. Lineage: Bacteria; Pseudomonadati; Pseudomonadota. The record is from RNAcentral.
GCAAGUCGAACGCAGUAGCAAUACUGAGUGGCAGACGGGUGAGUAACAUCGUUGGAAUCUGCCUUGUGGUUCAGGACAACAUUGGGAAACCGAUGCUAAUACUGGAUAAGCCCUUACGGGGAAAGUUUUAAUGCCAUAAGAUGAGCCCGCAUUUGAUUAGUUAGUUGGUGAGGUAAUGGCUUACCAAGACAAUGAUCAAUAGCUGAUCUGAGAGGAUGAUCAGCCACACUGGGACUGAGACACGGCCCAGACUCCUACGGGAGGCAGCAGUGGGGAAUCUUGCACAAUGGAGGAAACUCUGAUGCAGCGAUGCCGCGUGAGUGAAGAAGGCCUUUGGGUUGUAAAGCUCUUUUGUAGGGGAAGAUAAUGACUGUACCCUAAGAAUAAGGUCCGGCUAACUUCGUGCCAGCAGCCGCGGUAAUACGAAGGGACCUAGCGUAGUUCGGAAUUACUGGGCGUAAAGCGCGCGUAGGCCGUUGAGUUAGUUAAUUGUGAAAUCCCAAAGCUUAACUUUGGAACUGCAAUUAAAACUGCUCGACUAGAGUUUGAUAGAGGAAAGCGGAAUACAUAGUGUAGAGGUGAAAUUCGUAGAUAUUAUGUAGAACACCAGUUGCGAAGGCGGCUUUCUGGAUCAACACUGACGCUGAGGCGCGAAAGUAUGGGUAGCAAAGAGGAUUAGAUACCCUCGUAGUCCAUACCAUAAACGAUGAUUGCUAGAUGUUGGAAAUUUAUUUUCAGUAUCGCAGCUAACGCAUUAAGCAAUCCGCCUGGGGAGUACGACCGCAAGGUUAAAACUCAAAUGAAUUGACGGGGACCCGCACAAGCGGUGGAGCAUGUGGUUUAAUUCGAAGAUACGCGCAGAACCUUACCAACCCUUGACAUGUCUGUCGCGAGUUUAGGAAACUAGACUUUUCGGUUCGGCCGGACAGAACACAGGUGCUGCAUGGCUGUCGUCAGCUCGUGUCGUGAGAUGUUGG